This 119-nucleotide ribosomal RNA is filed under the name Arabidopsis thaliana (thale cress). Lineage: Eukaryota; Viridiplantae; Streptophyta; Magnoliopsida; Brassicales; Brassicaceae. The record is from RNAcentral.
AGAUGCGAUCAUACCAGCACUAAUGCACCGGAUCCCAGCAGAACUCUGUAGUUAAGGGUGCUUGGGCGAGAGUAGUACUAGGAUGGGUGACCUCCCGGAAAGUCCUCGUGUUGCAUCCC